UACAGAGGUCCCAAGCGUUGUUCGGAUUCAUUGGGCGUAAAGGGUGCGUAGGUGGCGCCGUAAGUCAGGUGUGAAAUUUCGGAGCUUAACUCCGAAACUGCAUUUGAUACUGCGGUGCCUGAGGACUGGAGAGGAGACUGGAAUUUACGGUGUAGCAGUGAAAUGCGUAGAGAUCGUAAGGAAGACCAGUGGCGAAGGCGGGUCUCUGGACAGUUCCUGACACUGAGGCACGAAGGCCAGGGGAGCAAACGGG
Molecule: ribosomal RNA, 253 nt
Filed under: uncultured bacterium
Lineage: Bacteria
Description: partial 16S ribosomal RNA
Rfam family: Bacterial small subunit ribosomal RNA
Source: RNAcentral